UACAUGUGGGGCAAGCGUUGUUCGGAAUCAUUGGGCGUAAAGAGCGUGUAGGCGGCUUGGUAAGUCCGCUGUGAAAGUCCAGGGCUCAACCCUGGAAUGCCGGUGGAAACUGUCAAGCUUGAGUCCGGAAGAGGCGAGUGGAAUUCCUGGUGUAGCGGUGAAAUGCGCAGAUAUCAGGAGGAACACCAAUGGCGAAGGCAGCUCGCUGGGACGGUACUGACGCUGAGACGCGAAAGCGUGGGGAGCAAACAGG
RNAcentral lists this ribosomal RNA (253 nucleotides) under uncultured bacterium. RNAcentral's name for it is "partial 16S ribosomal RNA". It matches the Rfam family "Bacterial small subunit ribosomal RNA", at positions 524 to 776 of the family's 1533-position model. The record is from RNAcentral.